CUUCAUGCUGCCUAUUGGAGCAGCCUCCCAGCUCCUACUUGUGUGCAAGCAGGAGCAGGGCAGGGGUCUCUCAGUUAGGCAACGGCAAGCCUCCCUUCCCAGCUGAGGGAUCCCAACCCCCUCCUGCUUGCACGCAAGUAGGAAUGGGAUUGGGGCUGCUCCAAUAGGCAGUGGAAG
Molecule: non-coding RNA, 177 nt
Organism: Podarcis lilfordi (Lilford's wall lizard)
Lineage: Eukaryota; Metazoa; Chordata; Lepidosauria; Squamata; Lacertidae
Source: the annotation of a GenBank genome assembly